UACAGAGGUCUCAACCGUUGUUCGGAUUCAUUGGGCGUAAAGGGUGCGUAGGCGGUCGGGUAAGUCGGAUGUGAAAUCCCAGGGCUCAACCCUGGAACUGCAUUCGAUACUGCCUGGCUAGGGUACUGGAGAGGAGACUGGAAUUUACGGUGUAGCAGUGAAAUGCGUAGAUAUCGUAAGGAAGACCAGUGGCGAAGGCGGAUCUCUGGGCCUUACCUGACGCUCAGGUGCGAAAGCUAGGGGAGCGAACAGG
This 253-nucleotide ribosomal RNA is filed under the name uncultured bacterium. RNAcentral describes it as "partial 16S ribosomal RNA". It matches the Rfam family "Bacterial small subunit ribosomal RNA", at positions 524 to 776 of the family's 1533-position model. The record is from RNAcentral.